RNAcentral lists this ribosomal RNA (347 nucleotides) under uncultured bacterium. RNAcentral describes it as "partial 16S ribosomal RNA". It matches the Rfam family "Bacterial small subunit ribosomal RNA", at positions 338 to 682 of the family's 1533-position model. The record is from RNAcentral.
CCUACGGGUGGCAGCAGUGAGGAAUAUUGGUCAAUGGACGAGAGUCUGAACCAGCCAAGUAGCGUGAAGGAGGACUGCCCUAUGGGUUGUAAACUUCUUUUAUAUGGGAAUAAAAUGUGGCACGUGUGGGAUGUUGUGUGUACCAUAUGAAUAAGGAUCGGCUAACUCCGUGCCAGCAGCCGCGGUAAUACGGAGGAUCCGAGCGUUAUCCGGAUUUAUUGGGUUUACAGGGAGCGUAGGUGGUUUGUUAAGUCCGUUGUGAAAGUUUGCGGCUCAACCGUAAACUUGCAGUUGAAACUGGCAGUCUUGAGUACAGUAGAGGUGGGCGGAAUUCGUUGUGUAGCGGU